Long non-coding RNA from Gasterosteus aculeatus aculeatus (three-spined stickleback), 492 nucleotides. Lineage: Eukaryota; Metazoa; Chordata; Actinopteri; Perciformes; Gasterosteidae. The record is from Ensembl.
GAAUAUUGGGAACGGAGCAUUUCGGGAGGAUACAGAUUCAUGUGUCUUAAAAAGGAUUGGUGGUAAUUUUUUUCCGUCCCAUCCAACAAAUCAGAUUUCGAUUGCUCAGUGUAGACUGGCGUGACAAGUGACAUUCUCAAAAGCUCACACUUCAGAAUGCGCCAUCACAAGCCAUCCAAGAACGUGUUUUUAGGAAAGGAGGAAGGUGGCAAUGAAGGCAAAUGAAACCGAAGGAGGUCUGCUGUUGUUCUUGGUGCCAGAUUCCUCUCCAAUGUGGACAAGGCUCACUGUGGGAUUAUCUCAUGAUUGCCCAAAACAAUCAAACCCAGGCUGUGGGGGCUGCAUACUGAAGUGGGGCUGCACUGAUCAUCAUCAUCAUUAUAACCUUGAAAGACCUUCACCGGCAGAGAGAAGAGAGUCGAGAGGGCCUCCGAGUUAUAGGUGUGCCGAUAGCGCCCCCUGUUGAUUCUCCGGCAAACAAACCAAGAAUCC